UGUAUUUGUGUGUGUGCAUGUGCAUGUUUCAUGCACCCAUGUGAGUGUAGGCACAUGCAUCUUCAUGCAUGGACAGAAAGUACUAGCAAA
RNAcentral lists this microRNA precursor (90 nucleotides) under Fukomys damarensis (Damara mole-rat). RNAcentral's name for it is "miRNA (ENSFDAG00000002637.1)". The record is from RNAcentral. Lineage: Eukaryota; Metazoa; Chordata; Mammalia; Rodentia; Bathyergidae.